This 304-nucleotide ribosomal RNA is filed under the name uncultured Methanosarcina sp. Its description in RNAcentral is "bacterial SSU rRNA". It matches the Rfam family "Archaeal small subunit ribosomal RNA", at positions 577 to 879 of the family's 1478-position model. Lineage: Archaea; Methanobacteriati; Methanobacteriota; Methanomicrobia; Methanosarcinales; Methanosarcinaceae. The record is from RNAcentral.
GGGRAUACUGCCAGGCUUGGAACCGGGGAGAGGUAAGAGGUACUACAGGGGUAGGAGUAAAAUCUUGUAAUCCCCUGUGGGACCACCUGUGGCGAAGGCGUCUUACCAGAACGGGUUCGACGGUGAGGGACGAAAGCUGGGGGCACGAACCGGAUUAGAUACCCGGGUAGUCCCAGCCGUAAACGAUGCUCGCUAGGUGUCAGGCAUGGCGCGACCGUGUCUGGUGCCGCAGGGAAGCCGUGAAGCGAGCCACCUGGGAAGUACGGCCGCAAGGCUGAAACUUAAAGGAAUUGCGGGGGAGCAC